RNAcentral lists this ribosomal RNA (384 nucleotides) under uncultured Cryptomonas. Its description in RNAcentral is "partial small subunit ribosomal RNA". It matches the Rfam family "Eukaryotic small subunit ribosomal RNA", at positions 30 to 432 of the family's 1831-position model. The record is from RNAcentral. Lineage: Eukaryota; Cryptophyceae; Cryptomonadales; Cryptomonadaceae.
GCUUGUCUCAAAGAUUAAGCCAUGCAUGUCUUAGUGUAAAUAACUCUUAUGAAACUGCGAAUGGCUCAUUAAAUCAGUUAUCAAAUACGUGAUGGUCGCCUACUACAUGGAUAACCGUAGUAAUUCUAGAGCUAAUACAUGCACAAAGGCCCACUCACGUGGGUUGUGAUUAUUAGAUUCAAACCGGCCUCGUUCUGGUGAUUCAUAAUAAUUGGUCGAACCGCAUGCCCUUGUGGUGGCGGUGAUUCAUCCUUAUUUCUGCCCUAUCAACUUUCGAUGGUAGUGUAUUGGACUACCAUGGCAGUAACGGGUAACGAAGAAUUAGGGUUCGAUUUCGGAGAGGGAGCAUGAGAAACGGCUACCACAUCUAAGGAAGGCAGCAGG